RNAcentral lists this ribosomal RNA (250 nucleotides) under uncultured bacterium. RNAcentral describes it as "partial 16S ribosomal RNA". It matches the Rfam family "Bacterial small subunit ribosomal RNA", at positions 355 to 597 of the family's 1533-position model. The record is from RNAcentral.
GGGGGAAUAUUGGACAAUGGGGGAAACCCUGAUCCAGCGAUGCCGCGUGGGUGAAGAAGGCCUGCGGGUUGUAAAGCCCUUUUAGUAGGGACGAAAUGCUUCGACCUAAUACGUCGGGGAGUUGACUUAACCUACAGAAAAAGCACCGGCUAACUCCGUGCCAGCAGCCGCGGUAAUACGGAGGGUGCGAGCGUUAAUCGGAAUUACUGGGCGUAAAGCGCGCGUAGGCGGCUUGGUAAGUCAGUUGUGA